Long non-coding RNA from Bombyx mori (domestic silkworm), 1244 nucleotides. RefSeq lists it as uncharacterized. The record is from RefSeq and is a predicted model, not a curated record. The transcript has 2 exons. NCBI's taxonomy places the organism in Eukaryota, Metazoa, Arthropoda, Insecta, Lepidoptera, Bombycidae.
UCCGACUUACGGCCGUUUUCAAUAACCUAUCUAUCCCUAGUUUCGGUUACUAAAGAUAGACAAAUCUAUAUUUUUGUCCUUACUUACGUUCCAAUAACCUAUCGACGGGCAGCAGUUCCUAUCGGAUUUAUCUAUCCAUCGUCGGGAGGACGGAUAGCCUGCUAAAGAUAGAACGCUCAUACAAAUCGUGCUUACUUCCGUUUCAAUAUGAGUUUUAAGUAACUCUCCGGUAGGCGGCGCUAUCUCUAGUAUGGGCAUUCGCUUAUCUGUCAAAAUCGACCGGUUACAUGUUUAUCUUUCGAAAGUAAAUCGCUAUAAUUUAAUAAUUGUUUCUCUUCAUAUUGGCAUAUUGUAGUAGUGAUGAUAGUGAUAUGGAAUUAUUUCAAAUGAUAAUGGAUUGUGAUGCAGAUAGUGAUAGUGAGGCCGAUAUCAUAUGGUUAGGAAAAUAAAGAUCGUCUGAAUUACAUGGCGAAGAUCAAUAAUUACGAAUUUGACUAUAGAUUACUGAGCAAAGGUGUUGUGAAUGAAUUGAUUAAUUUAAUGAGAUCAUAUUUGAGUGUAACGUCAAAAAGGUAAGAUAAAUUUUAACCAUAAAAGUACUCGUUAUUACAACUUAUAUUUGUUUAUAGCAAUAGCAAAAUUAUACCUAAUUUUUGUUGUGUUACAAAAUCACACUCAACAGGAAUUCUAUAAUACUGCUGGAUUCCCAUGGUGCCCUAAAUGACAUUCAUAUACUAAUACAAUAACCUGGUAGGCUAUUUACCUUCAUUCUUAUUACACACUGAUACCUCUACAUUUUAUAUUUGUGUUACAGAUUUAAAUAUAGGAGAGGAAUUUAGAAAUAGAAAAAGAGUAUUUUGAAUGUGUAAUUUGUGUGCAAUGCAUCAUUGAUGUUUCAAAAUGUUGUUGCUUGAUGGCCUGGGUCUACUCAUGAUACAACUAUAAUUAACCAUUCCGAUUGAAAAGAUGCAUUGGUGUUUGUAAAAGAAGACUCCCUGUAUAUCAUUGAAAAAUAGAUUAAAACUAGAAAAUAUGCAAGCUGUUAUUAUAGCUGCCAUGCUGCAUAAUAUCGUCAGAAGUAUGAAUUUAGAAGAAUUAGAAUCAGAAAUUUCAGUCGCAGAUACAUUACAGGAAAAUAAUAUAAUUGUUCGUAACAAUUUUUCAAAACUUACAUCUGAAAUACAACUAUGUACUUAUAAAUAAUUGCUUCCAAAGAUAAUUUAUAAAAUAAACUCCAAAGAUAA